This 774-nucleotide ribosomal RNA is filed under the name uncultured Neocallimastigales. RNAcentral describes it as "partial large subunit ribosomal RNA". It matches the Rfam family "Eukaryotic large subunit ribosomal RNA", at positions 18 to 640 of the family's 3401-position model. The record is from RNAcentral. Lineage: Eukaryota; Fungi; Neocallimastigomycota; Neocallimastigomycetes; Neocallimastigales.
UCAGACGAUGCGUCAUGCAUAUCAAUAAGCGGAGGAAAAGAAACUAACAAGGAUUCCCUUAGUAACGGCGAGUGAAGCGGGAAGAGCUCAAAUUCGAAAUCUUCAAGGUUUUACCUUGACGAAUUGUAGUUUAAAGAAGUGUUUUCUGUUGAAGUUUUGGUAAAAGUUCUUUGGAAUAGGACAUCAUAGAGGGUGAGAAUCCCGUAUUUGACCAUUAUUUUCAGCUGUGUGAUACACUUUCAAAGAGUCGGAUUGUUUGGGAAUGCAGUCCAAAAUGGGUGGUAAAUUUCAUCUAAAGCUAAGUAUUGGCGAGAGACCGAUAGCGAGCAAGUACCGUGAGGGAAAGAUGAAAAGAACUUUGAAAAGAGAGUUAAACAGUACGUGAAAUUGUCAAAAGGGAAGCGUUUGACACCAGUGUUGUUUUCUCGAAAAUCGAUUAAAAAGAGUUGGAUUUUGUGUUGUAUUGACCUUAUCAGCUUUCUGCACUCUUUUCCUGUCUUUUUUAAUGCACUUUUCGUUUAACAAGUCAACAUCAAUUUCUUUUGUUGUAAAAGGGUCAUUGGAAGGUGGCUUUCUCUUCGGAGAAAGUGUUUAUAGCCUUUGAUCUCUGCAAUCGGAGAGACUGAGGUCUGCAGCGUAGAUCCUUCGGGGUUAGAUACAUUUGUGCUAAGCUACAGCUUUUCAUAGACAACUUGUUGACUAUGUUUAGUCUUGUAACUUACCCGCUUAUGCUAUUUUACCUACGCUUAGGAUGUUGAUAUGCAUGACUGAUAU